This 246-nucleotide ribosomal RNA is filed under the name unidentified alpha proteobacterium groupC. RNAcentral describes it as "partial 16S small subunit ribosomal RNA". It matches the Rfam family "Bacterial small subunit ribosomal RNA", at positions 1106 to 1373 of the family's 1533-position model. Lineage: Bacteria; Pseudomonadati; Pseudomonadota; Alphaproteobacteria. The record is from RNAcentral.
CAUCUUUAGUUGCCAGCAGGUUAAGCUGGGCACUCUAGAGAAACUGCCCGUGAUAAGCGGGAGGAAGGUGUGGAUGACGUCAAGUCCUCAUGGCCCUUACGGGUUGGGCUACACACGUGCUACAAUGGCAGUGACAAUGGGUUAAUCCCAAAAAGCUGUCUCAUUUCGGAUUGGGGUCUGCAACUCGACCCCAUGAAGUCGGAAUCGCUAGUAAUCGCGUAACAGCAUGACGCGGUGAAUACGCUC